UGUGUGCUCAGGGGAACUUGGUUUAUGGU
This 29-nucleotide non-coding RNA is filed under the name Rattus norvegicus (Norway rat). Lineage: Eukaryota; Metazoa; Chordata; Mammalia; Rodentia; Muridae. The record is from RNAcentral.